Symsagittifera roscoffensis is the source of this 988-nucleotide long non-coding RNA. RefSeq lists it as uncharacterized. NCBI's taxonomy places the organism in Eukaryota, Metazoa, Xenacoelomorpha, Acoela, Convolutidae. The transcript is spliced from 2 exons. The record is from RefSeq and is a predicted model, not a curated record.
CCCAAAGUUGACUUCAAAUUGAUGAUCGAAAGGUGUAAUUAAUCUAUCGUUGACCAAAGAUUAACCUAUAACACUCCUCGGCUUUUGUAAAAUACAAAAUUUCAUUACUAUAUUAACAGCAUCAAAUUAAAGACCGAAAAUAAAACAUCAACUUUUUUUGAAACAACGUUAAAUUUGAAUCAAUUUUGCUCCGUGAUUUUUUGAUUUUUUUCUUGUAAGGUUUAUAGGUUUUUUGGUUUUAUUUUUGUUUCAAAUUUCAGAAGUCAGAUACUCUUUUUAAAAACCUCCGUGACAGUGGCACGUAACACAGAUUUUAAUUUUUUAUUAUUCUUUUUCCUCUUCGCUCGUUAUGCCUUCCACCUUUUUCAACACUGAAGACAACACCAGUUUCGACUUUGGUUCUCUCCAAAUUGAAGUCAACUUUUCAUCGUCUUCGCAAGACAAAAACCGACACUCGAGUGGACUCUCAUCCUCAGGAAGCAGCAGCACCUCGGCAACCUCAUUCCUCGGAGGCACUACUGAGCGUCCAUUCGAGGAAUCGAGAAGCCUGUUGGGAUCCGCGUCAGGAGUCGAGAACAAAGACUCCUCCGAAGUCGAUAAGUACUGGGCAAACAGUGGGUUUGGGAGUGUCGCAGAAUUUAAACAACUGCAUCAUUUCUGAAGAUCCCAGAACUUCUGGAACCCUUGCAGUUCCUGGAAAUAGGUUCUCGCAAGAUACUACAAUACUUCUGUCUCAGUAAAAAAAUUGUGCACAGUUUUGAUUAAAACUAAAUCAACCAAUUUAAAAGAAUAUAACUCAUUACCGAUUAGUGCUACGUAAUCAUUACGUAAUGUUGUGUGUCGUAAUUAAUGGAAAAUUCCUGCAGAAAGGCUUAGAGGCCUGUGGAGAUGUGUUGAAUUGUACUCAUUCAUCUUUGUACGAAAUGAAAGUUAUGUAUUUACGCACAUUUAAUCUUAUACAUAUGCCAUAAUUUAAUCUAUUUUGUAA